This 2329-nucleotide long non-coding RNA is filed under the name Homo sapiens (human). RNAcentral describes it as "HSALNT0295597". Lineage: Eukaryota; Metazoa; Chordata; Mammalia; Primates; Hominidae. The record is from RNAcentral.
CAGGCAUGAGCCACCGCGUCCAGCCUGCAGUGGUUUUCUUACUACUUUUUACAAUCAAAUUGAUUAAGGCAUUGGUUGAAUAUGGUACAAUGCAUCCAUUUCAAGUUUGACGACAUGUCUACUACUCCAGAAGGUCCUCUUGUGCCCUUUGCAGUCAGUCCCCUCGACUCCCUGACCCCAGCAAUUAAUGAUGUAUUUUCUGCCACUAUACAGGUUAGUUUCACCUGUUCCAGAAAUUCACCUUGAUGGCACCACAUAGAAUGCACUCUUUUCAUCACUCAGCAUGAGGUUUUUGAGAUUGGCCCAUGCUAUCUCAUGUUUCCAUAAUUUGUCCCAUCUUAUUGAGGGUAGUACUCCGUUGGAUGAAUAUAUCACAAUAGGUCCAUUCACCUCUUGAUGCAUAUGAACCUUUUCCAGUUUGGGGACUAUUGUAAACAAAGCUGCUAAGAACAAGUUCUUUUUGUGAAUAUAUGUUUUGUAAAUUCCACUUGUCAUUCUUUAGUAUUAACUGAUUUUGUAAAAUGAUGUCACCUUCACAAGUGCAAAAUUCAUUCAAAUGUUACAGAGGCCUGAAGCAUAAGUCUACACAAUUUCCUUUGUUAUAUUUCAUAAUUAAGGGGAAAAAACUUUAUCUGGGAUGUUGUUUCCUAUCAGCAAAUCCUUAAUGUAAGCCAUACAGGAUGCUAGCUGUACUAUUAGACUAUCUUCUGUAAUCUGUGCAAUAACUCUAAGAAGUACUUCGUAUUAUUAUUUUCCUGUAACACUUUCCAACUUGAAGCCUAGCAAAUUGAAGGACCUGGCCCCAGGUCAAACAGAAGGCAAGCGGCAGCGCCAGGACUGGAAGAAGGCCUUCCCAAAGGCAGACAGAAGCUCACGUCUCUGUCAGAACCUCGGUAUUUCUGAUGCGCCUGGAAGCCAAUAUCCAAGCCGUUCUCAGCCACUGGAUUGGUGGGCUGCUUUGCUCAGAAACUCCUCGAUCAGGAAUCCCAAGCAUACGUUAGUGAUGACGGUCCCAAAACAAGGGACAUUUCUUAACCAUUCUAAAAACCCGUUUGCUCAUCAGUAACGCAAUAAGAGUUGCUUUCGGUCUUGGUUCAUAUAUUUUAUAUUUGAGCAAGGCAAUGUCCGCUGCUGGGGUUAGAAGUAAAUGGCUCCUCUUCAGCAAACUAGAUCAGUCCGUGGGACGUACGGCUUCCACUCGCAGUGUCCUGAACACUGGCUGGGCUUCCUGUGCGUUCUAGCCGGUUUUCUUUGGAGCCGCGGGUUUCUGCACGGCUCCGGGGUCGGGAUGGCAGAGGCUUCUCGGAACACGCGGAUCUAUGAGUGCAGUCCCCGGGGUAGCCACCAGGGAACGCCAUAGGCUUUCCCGCUGUGUUCCUCCUUGCCUUUUCCGUUUGGGCCAAGUAGUUUCUAUUGACCAUGACAUUACAGAUCAGAAGUGGGUGGGGUCAGAAAACACACCCUGGGAGAAGCUGGCAAAAUGCCCAGAACCGCCAUCACUAGGCCUGGGGUUUUCUUCUGUAGUGGAAUUCUCGUGCUUAUGUAGUACAGGGAGGAGCGCAGCGCAUUUCCGCCAAGACAGGUGAGACUGCAGUUCUGACCUGCGGGCCUCGAUGAAUUGCUUUAGGGCCCCUGGGCGCCGGCAGAGCCGAUCUCCUACACAAAGCAAGCGUGUUAUGUCUACGACCGAACGGGGACACUAAGAAAGAGCCCCAAAGGCCCUGCUUUCAUCCCAAAGAACAGCGCCUGUCUGCGUAGUUUCUACCUUGCUCUAUGAGUGCAUCAGUUUAAGAGAAGACAUGAGAUCAUGGGUUUAAGUGAGGCUUCAUCAUACUAAGACAACGUGAUCAGGUACAAGUCGGUGAUUAAAGUGCAGAACAACUUCCCCAAUACAGGAAUCCAGCUUCUGAAAAUAUCUGUGCUGGAAAACUUGCAAUGGAGGAAUGGAAGACUUGAGAAAGGGAGGGCUGGGAAACAAGAGCUGUGACUCACCCUGAAGACAUUCGUAAAUAUCUAUUUUAAUAUCUAUUACAAUACAGCAAUAAAGGCAAACUAAAAAAGGCUAUACAAGGCAUUUUGCACAUCUUCAUUUACUGGGUUCUCUGAAGCCCAUUUCCUGUUAAUAUCUUUUGCUGGAAGAAUCUUCUCAGGAUCUCCCCUUCUGUCUGUUCCAACCAGACUCCCGUACAUUCAUUUUCGUUCCUCGUGGGUAAUACACCCACUGAGAGACAUGUUCCUUUGCUUUUUUUUUCUUCUUAGGGGGUUUCUCCACAAGAUUCCUGGUUGAGUUGAUGGAGUGAAGGUCUGUCUGUCCCCCAAUUUUUUUUUU